RNAcentral lists this ribosomal RNA (484 nucleotides) under uncultured bacterium. RNAcentral's name for it is "partial 16S ribosomal RNA". It matches the Rfam family "Bacterial small subunit ribosomal RNA", at positions 30 to 507 of the family's 1533-position model. The record is from RNAcentral.
AUUGAACGCUGGCGGCAGGCCUAACACAUGCAAGUCGAGCGGCAGCACAGUAAUAGCUCGCGGUUUCGGGGGCCGAGUGGCGGGUGAGGCAUAGGAAUCUGGGUGGCUAUGUGGGCUAACGUGCGAACGCGGGCGAUCAUACCGCAUACGCGCAUAGGGCCUAAGGGGGGGAGCAUCGGAUCUUACGAUAUCGGGUGAGCCUAUGUGGGAUUAGCUAGUUGGCGGGGUAAAGGCCUACCAAGGCGACGAUCCGUAGCUGGUCUGAGAGGAUGAUCAGCCACACUGGAACUGAGACACGGUCCAGACUCCUACGGGAGGCAGCAGUGGGGAAUAUUGGACAAUGGGCGCAAGCCUGAUCCAGCCAUACCGCGUGGGUGAAGAAGGCCUUCGGGUUGUAAAGCCCUUUUGUUGGGAAAGAAAAGCAGUAGGUUAAUACCCCGCUGUUUUGACGGUACCCAAAGAAUAAGCACCGGCUAACUUCGUG